This 93-nucleotide small nucleolar RNA is filed under the name Zalophus californianus (California sea lion). Its description in RNAcentral is "Small nucleolar RNA U13 (ENSZCAG00015014736.1)". It matches the Rfam family "Small nucleolar RNA U13". RNAcentral also lists the same sequence under 1 other name. Lineage: Eukaryota; Metazoa; Chordata; Mammalia; Carnivora; Otariidae. The record is from RNAcentral.
AUCCUUUUGUAGUUCAUAAGCAUGAUGAUUGGAUGUUCACGCCGUUGUGUGACAUGUGCCUCCCUCUUGGAAUUUAUCCAUUUCUUCCAGAUU